UACAGAGGGUGCAAGCGUUAAUCGGAAUUACUGGGCGUAAAGCGUGCGUAGGCGGUUUCGUAAGUCGGAUGUGAAAGCCCCGGGCUCAACCUGGGAAUUGCAUUCGAGACUGCGGAGCUCGAGUGCGGAAGAGGGAAGUGGAAUUUCCGGUGUAGCGGUGAAAUGCGUAGAUAUCGGAAGGAACAUCAGUGGCGAAAGCGACUUCCUGGUCCAGCACUGACGCUCAGGCACGAAAGCGUGGGGAGCAAAC
This 250-nucleotide ribosomal RNA is filed under the name uncultured bacterium. RNAcentral describes it as "partial 16S ribosomal RNA". It matches the Rfam family "Bacterial small subunit ribosomal RNA", at positions 524 to 773 of the family's 1533-position model. The record is from RNAcentral.